GCCUGGGUGGCUCAGUCGGUUAAGCGUCCGACUUCAGCUCAGGUCAUGAUCUCACGGUUUGUGGGUUCGAGCCCCACGUCAGGCU
RNAcentral lists this transfer RNA (85 nucleotides) under Felis catus (domestic cat). It matches the Rfam family "tRNA". Rfam says of the family: Transfer RNA (tRNA) molecules are approximately 80 nucleotides in length. The record is from Rfam by way of RNAcentral. Lineage: Eukaryota; Metazoa; Chordata; Mammalia; Carnivora; Felidae.